This 207-nucleotide unclassified non-coding RNA is filed under the name fungal sp. RNAcentral's name for it is "partial internal transcribed spacer region". The stretch from base 1 to 46 matches the Rfam family "Eukaryotic small subunit ribosomal RNA", at positions 1786 to 1831 of the family's 1831-position model. Lineage: Eukaryota; Fungi. The record is from RNAcentral.
AAGUCGUAACAAGGUUUCCGUAGGUGAACCUGCGGAAGGAUCAUUAGCAAAUCAUCAGGGUGCGCCGCCGCAGGCGGUGCACAUCUGUCCCAGGGAGAAAGUCUGAUUUGAUUUUCUCCCUGUGUCCAAGUGCUCCAGUGAAAUGUAUAUCUCAAUCACCAACACCAAACUAAAAAACAACUUUUAACAAUGGAUCUCUGGGCUCCU